Long non-coding RNA from Carya illinoinensis, 174 nucleotides. RefSeq lists it as uncharacterized. NCBI's taxonomy places the organism in Eukaryota, Viridiplantae, Streptophyta, Magnoliopsida, Fagales, Juglandaceae. The transcript is spliced from 3 exons. The record is from RefSeq and is a predicted model, not a curated record.
GCUGCAACAACUUUCUCAUGCAGGAAAAGUACGAGAAUAAAAUGAAACAAGAUGUUGAUGAAUCUGGCCAAGUCAAAAAGGAUGAAAAUGAAAGUCAAUAUGUCUCUAAAUUAUCGGAUCAUCAGGAAAUCAAUAUUGCAACCGAAGCAAAUUUAGAAGUCUUUAAUCACCAGG